This 500-nucleotide ribosomal RNA is filed under the name uncultured bacterium. RNAcentral's name for it is "partial 16S ribosomal RNA". It matches the Rfam family "Bacterial small subunit ribosomal RNA", at positions 30 to 523 of the family's 1533-position model. The record is from RNAcentral.
AUUGAACGCUGGCGGCAUGCCGUACACAUGCAAGUCGAACGGCAGCACGGGAGCAAUCCUGGUGGCGAGUGGCGAACGGGUGAGUAAAGUAUCGGAACGUGCCCAGUCGUGGGGGAUAACGUAGCGAAAGCUACGCUAAUACCGCAUACGAUCUAUGGAUGAAAGCGGGGGAUCGCAAGACCUCGCGCGAUUGGAGCGGCCGAUAUCAGAUUAGGUAGUUGGUGGGGUAAAGGCUCACCAAGCCGACGAUCUGUAGCUGGUCUGAGAGGACGAACAGCCACACUGGGACUGAGACACGGCCCAGACUCCUACGGGAGGCAGCAGUGGGGAAUUUUGGACAAUGGGCGAAAGCCUGAUCCAGCCAUGCCGCGUGCAGGAUGAAGGCCUUCGGGUUGUAAACUGCUUUUGUACGGAACGAAAAGGUUUGGCCUAAUAAGCUGAGCUCAUGACGGUACCGUAAGAAUAAGCACCGGCUAACUACGUGCCAGCCGCCGCAGUAA